Mytilus californianus (California mussel) is the source of this 749-nucleotide long non-coding RNA. RefSeq lists it as uncharacterized. The record is from RefSeq and is a predicted model, not a curated record. NCBI's taxonomy places the organism in Eukaryota, Metazoa, Mollusca, Bivalvia, Mytilida, Mytilidae. The transcript is spliced from 3 exons.
UAGGCCAAUUUCAAUUAAUUUUGGACCAAUUUCAAGAGAUUGUGACGGGCAACGACUAUAUAGGUGUUGUAGAGGAGACAAUGGCGCAUCGUUUAAGAAAAUCUCCAGAGCGGUUUAUGUUCGAAAAUCUGAAGUUACGAUUAAAAAACUGAAACUUUUAUUGUGAAAUUGACAAAAUGAGAUUAGGGGGGUAGGGCAAUUUAAGUUAAUUUUGGACCAAUUUUAAGAGAUUGUGACGGGCAACGACUAUAUAGGUGUUGUAGAGGAGACAAUGGCGCAUCGUUUAAGAAAAUCUCCAGAGCGGUUUAUGUUCGAAAAUCUGAAGUUACGAUUAAAAAACUGAAACUUUUAUUGUGAAAUUGACAAAAUGAGAUUAGGGGGGUAGGGCAAUUUAAGUUAAUUUUGGACCAAUUUUAAGAGAUUGUGACGGGCAACGACUAUAUAGGUGUUGUAGAGGAGACAAUGGCGCAUCGUUUAAGAAAAUCUCCAGAGUGGUUUAUGUCGAAAAUCUGAAGUUACGAUUAAAAAACUGAAACUUUUAUUGUGAAAUUGACAAAAUGAGAUUAGGGGGGUAGGGCAAUUUAAGUUAAUUUUGGACCAAUUUUAAGAGAUUGUGACGGGCAACGACUAUAUAGGUGUUGUAGAGGAAACAAUGGCGCAUCGUUUAAGAAAAUAUCCAGAGUGGUUUAUGUUCGAAAAUCUGAAGUUACGGUUAAAAAACUGAAAUUGUGAAAUUGAGAAAAUGAGAU